This is a long non-coding RNA of Myotis myotis, 4623 nucleotides long. RefSeq lists it as uncharacterized. The transcript has 2 exons. The record is from RefSeq and is a predicted model, not a curated record. NCBI's taxonomy places the organism in Eukaryota, Metazoa, Chordata, Mammalia, Chiroptera, Vespertilionidae.
AUCUUUGUAAAAGUAAUGCACAUGAAGGCAGUGUGUUUCCUGAGUUACAGAGAUUCAUGAUAUGAAACCCUAUCCUCCCCCCAAAAUGCAAAAGAAAAAAGUAAAAAUAAUGCACCAUAAGUCAUCUCCAACAAAAAGCAAACCACUACCUAAGAAUUCUAGUUAUCCAAUUAACAUCUGUAUUAGAUUUAUUUUCCAAAGGGUCAGAUAUCAUUCCAAGAUACUGUCCUGACUAUAACUGAGAAAACAGACAUUUUCAAGCACAAACUUUUAUACAAAUUAUAUAAUAUGUACUUAAAUAUAUAUUGUAAAUAUGCACAUAUGUAUAUAAAAUUUAAGGAUCAUAUGUCUAUAUGGAUCGAAGAGCAAGGAACGGGGUGGGCAGGAUGGAAAUAGAAAAUGUAACUUUGUAGGAAAAACAGAUUUCCAGAUGUGCCAAUGAAGCAAUGCUAUUAUUGCUUAGUCUGAAAUAGCCUUCUUCGUGUCAAUAGAUGGUGGUCAAAGAGAUUUUGAACAAAAUGUAGAACAUUUAGGAUCUAACAUAAAUUCCUGUAUUGCCAUAUAGCAUCAGAACUUGUGAUUUUUAUGAUUUCUGUCAGUCAGAAGACAGAGUCACUUAGCAACAGAUGAUGGAAGAUAUAAAACUUGAAGAUGAAUGGAACCAAAAAAUCUUCUGAAAUUUUUAUGAGUAUCUAUGGAUUUCUUUAAGUAAAUACAUACAUAAAAAUAAGGUCACCACUGAGAUAGAUUAUAUACAAAUAUAAUCUUAAUGAGUUUUUUUCUAAGAAAAGAAUGAUACAUUCUAGGGGAAAAUUUUCUCUUAAGUAUCUUCAGUUCUUUUGGAAGAAAGUGCCAGGUCAAAUAUGAGCCUUUAAGUUUUUUUCAUUCAAGACACUCAUUACACUGAAUGAACCACAGAAUAUAAUUUAUCUUAUCCUAGAUUUUGGGUCCUGUUAAAAAUGUGAAAAAUACAAAAGGAUAAUUGGACUAUCAUUCAAUUAUUCAAGUACAUUAUUCUGAACAAAGGGUGGGUUGUGUUUAGUUGUUAAAUAUGAAAGUUUGGAUAUGAAUGGAAUAAAGAUAGGUCUUAUUUAAUUUGGGGGAGGGGUACUUUAGUAAAAUAUAUAUACACACACAUACUCAUAUACUAGGUAAAGCUUUUGGACCAGAAUUUAACUGUUAUCCUUUCAGAACCUGUGUCACUACUUCAAAAAAAUUAUGUAACCAGUAAAUGUGUCUUUUUUUCCCUUCUCACAGCAGCUGUUUCAAACACAAAUGGAGAAAUAAAUGAGAAAAAUUCCCUACAUUUAAAAUCCACCAAGAAGAGAAAAUCAGGGCGUAGUCCCAGCUAAACCUGGGAUUUUCCCAGGUUCCAUAGAUUGGCCCGAAAACAAGUGCAGCUGGAGCUCUCCUUCCUUUAGCAGUGCAAGUGCUGGCCAGAAAAGUUUCAAACACAUGGAGCUUAGCAAGACCACCUGCUCCUAACAUAGGACAACGGCCCCUGAACCACCAACUCCACUGCUUCUCUGCCAGCUCUCCUUCGCAACAGACGACAGGCUUUAUGCUAGAAGUUUCCCAGUAAAAGAGUAAGCUAAGAGAAGCUAAAGGUCACAUCUAUGACGGGAGCUCAUAAAUUAGGAGCGAAGUGGAUAGAUUAAAAAGCUGAAACUGAAGUCAGUCUAAUAGUAGAACCAAACAAUAAUUGCCUAGAUAUCAGCCCCGGCAAGACAGAGCUAACGUUCAGAUCCUCACUUGGCAAGGGCCUGGGCUUCCAAGUGCUACGGAGCCACCAAGAAGUAGAAAGGAACUUUGCCCAGCUGCUCAUGCAUCCCUGAAGCACGACCAAUCUCAGUGGGUAUGUGACAUCACCCAGGAUAGUUAACCUAUAAUCUCUCAAGGUCUCCACCUCUUGGCCCUCUCAACAAGAGAAGAGGAAUCACAAUGGUCAGGCUCCACUGCUUGCCCAGCUCUUCCAAAAGAGUUGAGGUCAACUAGAAGUUUGAAUUUCCCUGAUGUAAAUCUUUAGUCACAUAUGAGAUAGCAUGUUGAAUUGGUGUUCAAUUAAAGGGCUAAAAAGCAAUAUUUAAUAUUUUGUAGGUUAAGAGAAUUAAAGUUAAUAUCAACUAUUAGAAGAAAAUUCUCCAUUCAGUAACCUAUGUUAACCCACAUGGGGAAAUCAGUGAACAACGGUAUUUUAAAUGUUUAAGCUGUUAGAUCAUGACACGGUCUAGGUGGAAUCCACGAGGAGACAGAGGAAGUAACUGAAAGUCUUGGCAUCACACAACUUCCAUAAUGCGGGUCUUUUGAAAACUCUAAAUCCUUAUCCCUUGGGAUAAAUUUUUUUUAAGUUUUUAAAAGUUUAGAAAAUAACAUUUUUAAAUUUGUUCAAGGGUCUUCCUUGUUACAGUUAAAUCACUUCUUCAACAGAACCCAUAGAUAAAGUCAUAAAAUCAACUUGAGAAGAAACAAGAGAACAGAAGUGUUUGGAACAAAUAUAUUCCAAACUGCUUACAUCACUCAUGGAACAUCCAUAGAAUAGAAUACUAAGAAGUUGUGAUAAAGAACAAGGAAGAGAUCAUAUGCAUUGUUAUAGAGGAUCUCUAAUAUACAUUAAGUGAAAAAAGCAAAUGCAUAACUGCAUAUCACAUAUUGUCAUUUGUUCGGGGGAAUUAUAUUUGUGUGCUUUGACUCUUGUAUAUCUGGAGAAAUACAAAAAAGCUAGUACCAGUGUUUGCUUCUAAGGAGUGGGUGAGGGGCAGAGUUUCUUUUCACUAUCUAUGCUAGUUUAUACCUUUAGAAUUUUUAACUGUUAAGUAUUUGUGUGUAUUACUUAUCAAAUAAUAAACUUUAUCUCUCUCUUAAAAAAAAAAAAAAAAAGGAAGGCACACUCUCUAAAAAGUAAAAGAGCACUUCCGAGCAUAUUUCGGGUAAAUGGAAGAGGCCAUCAUGAAAAUCAUGGAAGAAAUUGUUGCCCAGCUGGAGUGGCUUAGUUGGUGGAGUGUUAUCCUGUGCACUGAAAGGUUGCUGGUUUGAUCCCUGGUUGGGCCAUGUACAGAAGGCAACUGAUAUUCUUUCUUCUCUCCUCUCUUCUUCAAACAUGUCCUCAGAAAGGAUUACAAACCUCCACAGAACCUGCUCUCUAUUAAAGUGGAGUGCUGUGCAUUCAUUGGCAAGAGGUGAAUUGUUUUCAGAUUACAUGCGAAAGAGUGUGUGUGUUUCUUUCCCACAUCAAAGACUUGGAUGGAAGCAGUUCUGAGUAUUGCCAGGGAUGCAAGAAUUGGUGCUAAAGUGAUUAACAAAAUUGCUUUCCUGCAAAAGAAGCACAAAACAUUACCUAGGGAUUAGAGGAGGAGAGGGCAAGAUUAAAGGUGAUGUUGAAUUUUGGAUGGAAUAUCUUAUCCAUCUUUUUCAAAUCAUGCUUCAAGGAUUCUGUGGCCCCUCCUUAAGGAAACCUGAACAAAUCCAAGUCUUGCUUUCUCAAGUUUUGUACACAGGGGUGCUGACAAGGAAAAAUUAAAACUACUCACAGAACCAGUACUCCCUUGUGACCUCCGUAUCUUUAUCUCACCACAAAUACAUUUUGAAUGUCUUUUAUUCAGCAUGCACCAAUGACUCCAUUGAUCAAAGAGUCUUUCAUUUGUAAUUGGUCUGCAUCCACCUGUUGCACUUAAAUGAUACUGUUUUAUAGAAUUUCUGGAGUUGAUUGGUUUUAGCAAAUCUUGAUUUGGUUCCUAUAGUAUCCCUUUUUAAACAUAUCUUUCACAGUCAAAAUCUUCAUCUAACCAAAAUGGGGUUUUUAUUAGCCAUAAAACCUAUAUUCUAUACAAUAAAGGAAAAAUCAUACAGCAAACCUCACAGUUUCUAGUUUAGGAAAUUAUUUUAUGGGGUAUCUCUGAAAUGCCCUAUGACAUGCUUUGUCACUUAGCAUUUUUUCAUCUCUUUCAAAAACUGAAUGUAGGCCUCUCUUCUUCCAAGAAGUCCUCCUGGCUUUAGUCUCCCAAACAGAGAUAGGCAAAAGCAUAUAGGUACAUGCAACUGUUAUAGUAUGAAUACAUUUUUCUUCCUCCAAAACAUUAAGUCCGAAAAAAAAAUCAAAUAUAUAUCUGGAUAGAUGGCAAAAAACAUAAAGUUGAAUGUAAUAAGCAAAAUAAAUAAAUUCAGAACAAUAUAUAAGUAUGAUACAAUUUAUGAAAAUUUAACACAAAAAAUAUCGUAAUUCAUAUGGUAUAACAAUGUAUACAUGUAUAUAAAAAUUCAAAAAUUUACAGAAUUAUGUAUCUCAAACUUAUGCUAGUCGCUGCCUCUGGGAAGGGGAAAAUGAGAUAGGGGGUGAGAGGGAAUUUUAGCUACAUUUCUAAUAUUUAUUUCUUUUCUUUUUUAUAUAAUAUUCUUUUAAAAGAGGGAGGAAACCAUUCAGCUUAGAUGACUCGCUUGGACAUAGUUAAGGGAUGUGAAGUAUCAUUGAAAUUCUUGUCUAAAAAACACAGCAGAGGUUUGAGAUCCCAACUUUGUCCUCAAAUUAUUCUUUCACAUAAUGUACAGACGUAUUUUUUUGUCAGACGCUAGUUACGUCUCACUUUCUUUGUAACAACAAUAAAACCUGUUUCCAACUGAUUAAAUAAU